CCCUUAGAUGUCCUGGGCCGCACGCGUGCUACACUGACACUUACACCGAGUUUUUCCAAUGCCGAAAGGCCAUUGGUAAUCAGCAAUAAGUGUCGUGAUGGGGAUAGAUCUUUGGAAUUAUUGAUCUUGAACGAGGAAUGCCUAGUAAUCGUAGGUCAUCAGCCUGCGAUGAUUACGUCCCUGCCCUUUGUACACACCGCCCGUCGCACCUACCGAUUGAAUGGUCCGGUGAAAUCUCGGGACGGCGGCUUGGUCGCUUGCGUCCGACUGCUGAAACUUGAUUAAACCAUAUCAUUUAGAGGAAGGUGAANUCGUANCA
Molecule: ribosomal RNA, 319 nt
Filed under: uncultured eukaryote
Lineage: Eukaryota
Description: partial 18S ribosomal RNA
Rfam family: Eukaryotic small subunit ribosomal RNA
Source: RNAcentral